Molecule: small nuclear RNA, 100 nt
Filed under: Sciurus vulgaris (Eurasian red squirrel)
Lineage: Eukaryota; Metazoa; Chordata; Mammalia; Rodentia; Sciuridae
Source: RNAcentral
CCUAGUACCCAAAAGAAAAAAAAAAUUGGAACUUUAGAGAGAAGAUUAAUAUAGACUCUGCUCAAGGACGACAUAAAUUCAUGAAGUAUUCCAUUUCUUU